CUUUCACGCGCUUUGGGGACCGCUCGUGUUCGGGGAGCACCUGAGCCACCCGGGGGGGGAGCCGCAGCCGCCCUCGCUGGGGCUGGGGGCUCGCCCGCAGGCACCUCGCAGGAUGCUCGAGGGUUAAAUAGCGACAAAGUUAAAGGAGCAGUGGUGGCAGAGGGAAACCCAAAGAUGUAUUGCUGAGGGAGCAGUAAAUGAGAGGUUUUCAAGUGAAUUGUGCAAAUAAAUAGAAAGCUUGCCUCUUUCCACCUCAGGCUAACGAUUUCCAGUAUUUUAUGCAGGGAUUUCUUUGCCAGUGAGGGAUGCUACCCAGGAAAAACUGUGGACUGUAGCUGCGUAUUGUUCAAGUCACAGUUAACAUCUUUUAAGGUACCUUCAGUAUGGAAAACAUUUAACUUCCAAAGCAAAUUUGGAGUAAUAGAUUUUAGGGGUGAAAAAGGACCAUUAGCUCAGUUAAUGUGAUUUUCUCCAUAGCACAGACCAGAUAAUAUCACUCAGUUACUCUUCUACUGAGCCAAUAACUCGUGUUUGCAAUUCAUGCAAUUUCCUUUUAGUUCAAUUUAAUUUCAUACAGAAUCCAUUCAGUUGACACUGAGACAGUAUUUUUUCUGAAAGCUGGUGAUUUCAGAGGCUUUGCGUUAAAAAUAGCUGGUGUCCUUUGACAAACGUGGGCAGGCUAAAGACAUUUUUCUAAACCAUUUGCUACCGACACAUUUUUACCAGCAUCUCCCUUUGUGCUGUUUAUUUGUUUCACUUUCUUAUGAAUGGCAAAGCUGCUGCUCGAGCGGCGAGCUGUUGCGGGCGCCGCUCUCCUCGGGCUCGGGGCUCGCGCCGUGGUUCUCCCUGGGGAUCCGAUUUGGCAUCUUGCACAGGAGGUGAAUUCCCUUCCUCGCAGCCUAAUAGGGAACGCAGUGGCAGAAGCACAGUACAUCUAGCCUUUCAGUGGGUUUAUUUUUACAUUGGUUGCUUGCUGAUGGGCUCCCGGAGCACUUGCAGCCGCUGCUGUCUGUGGCCUUUCUGGAACGGAGACUUGCUGGGGCUGAGCAGCAGCUACUGGUGCCGCAAACUGGUCCAGGGAAGGUGGACAAUGGCUGGCUCGGGGAAUCGGUAGCGUGCUACGGAGCUUGUUUUCUGCUCUCAAGGUGAGUGUCUUGGUCUAGCAGCGGGGAAGGGAGGUGGGGGCUGCUGGCCUGGUGCCGACCGCUUCAUGUGGCCCUCCAAGAGCAGGGACGGCACCUCCUCAGGGCUGCAGGGCCCCCCGUGGCCUUUAGAGCUUUUGAAUUUUGCUGGGGAGCGUGGGGUUGUUCGGAUAGUCGUUGCUGGUGAUCUGUGGGGUGCAAAAGCUUUGCCCACCGCGCCGUGGGAGCCGAGUUGCAUGCGUUGUUCCCAGGCCUCCGCUUUCGUAGGCCAAGUUGCGGCUGCUCUGUGAUGUCUCCCGUUCCCGUACCUAAGACAAAGCCAAAGAAACUUUGAAGGAUUUUGGUGUGGUUCAAGCAGGUUGGCGUAGCAGCAGGACUCACGGCUCUGCUACUCUCAGGGACCUGNNNNNNNNNNNNNNNNNNNNNNNNNNNNNNNNNNNNNNNNNNNNNNNNNNNNNNGCCAGUGGCCCGCGCGCCCGCUUGCCGUCCCGCCGGCGCAGCGAGCUCUGCUUUGUGCGGCCGCCGUGACCUGCCAUCCUGGCUGCUUCAGGUUUAUCCCACGGCAAACGCUUAGCGUGCUUUUGGGUUCGGCUUGCUUCAUGUGUACAUGUGUAAUUGCAGAAAUCAGAAAAGCUUUUAUUACCUAAGAGACGACCUCUAACAGGCGGUUGCGACCGAUUGUGCAGACACACUGUCAGUGCAUCUCUGCUCGGGUUUUACACCCUGGAAGUUCCCAGCCGUGCUAAUAAAAUGCACACUGUUUGUUUUCCUAAAAAAAAA
Long non-coding RNA from Struthio camelus australis, 1922 nucleotides. The record is from Ensembl. Lineage: Eukaryota; Metazoa; Chordata; Aves; Struthioniformes; Struthionidae.